This 482-nucleotide ribosomal RNA is filed under the name Bacillus stratosphericus. RNAcentral's name for it is "bacterial SSU rRNA". It matches the Rfam family "Bacterial small subunit ribosomal RNA", at positions 19 to 485 of the family's 1533-position model. The record is from RNAcentral. Lineage: Bacteria; Bacillati; Bacillota; Bacilli; Caryophanales; Bacillaceae.
CUGGCUCAGGACGAACGCUGGCGGCGUGCCUAAUACAUGCAAGUCGAGCGGACAGAAGGGAGCUUGCUCCCGGAUGUUAGCGGCGGACGGGUGAGUAACACGUGGGUAACCUGCCUGUAAGACUGGGAUAACUUCCGGGAAACCGGAGCUAAUACCGGAUAGUUCCUUGAACCGCAUGGUUCAAGGAUGAAAGACGGUUUCGGCUGUCACUUACAGAUGGACCCGCGGCGCAUUAGCUAGUUGGUGAGGUAACGGCUCACCAAGGCGACGAUGCGUAGCCGACCUGAGAGGGUGAUCGGCCACACUGGGACUGAGACACGGCCCAGACUCCUACGGGAGGCAGCAGUAGGGAAUCUUCCGCAAUGGACGAAAGUCUGACGGAGCAACGCCGCGUGAGUGAUGAAGGUUUUCGGAUCGUAAAGCUCUGUUGUUAGGGAAGAACAAGUGCAAGAGUAACUGCUUGCACCUUGACGGACCAACCA